RNAcentral lists this ribosomal RNA (546 nucleotides) under Triticum aestivum (bread wheat). Its description in RNAcentral is "partial small subunit ribosomal RNA". The record is from RNAcentral. Lineage: Eukaryota; Viridiplantae; Streptophyta; Magnoliopsida; Poales; Poaceae.
AUGCGCCUCGUCGAAUCGAUGGAUCCGUAUUUACACGCACACUGCACGUCUGCACCCGGCCGUCGGCUCGCCUGGCAAUGGCGCCAGGCCGGACCGAGGGGCCGGACAAAUGGCCUGCCGCCGUCCGGGCCUCAGCGGGCGGCGGCGCAGGGGAGGGAGGAGGCGGAGCAGAGGGAACGGAAGGCGAGCUCCUCGCAGGGGAGCACGAGCAGGUCCCCGGCGCCGCCGAAGCCGAACUCCUCCUCGGCGCGGCGGAGCAGGGAGCGGAACUCGGGCCGGUCCAGCACCGCGAUGGGCACCACGAACCGCCGCCGCGACUCGCCCACGUACACCGCGAAGUGGCCCCGCGGCACGUCCGACGGCGCCGCCUCCUCCUCCUCCUCCCAGUGCUGCUGCUGCUCCCCGUUGUGCUGCUGCUGCCGCCGGCCCAGGCUCGAGCACCGCUUCAGGAUCUGCUUCAGCCCCGCCGCGCCUCCCUUCUUGAUCGCCAUUAGUUAUCCGAGGGUGGAGCUCGCUCCGCCGUUCGUUGGUUGGACUCGGAGGUGA